This 256-nucleotide ribosomal RNA is filed under the name uncultured bacterium. RNAcentral describes it as "partial 16S ribosomal RNA". It matches the Rfam family "Bacterial small subunit ribosomal RNA", at positions 521 to 775 of the family's 1533-position model. The record is from RNAcentral.
UAAUACGUAGGGGGCAAGCGUUAUCCGGAUUUACUGGGUGUAAAGGGGGCGCAGACGGCAGCGCAAGCCAGGAGUGAAAGCCCGGGGCCCAACCCCGGGACUGCUCUUGGAAACUGUAUGGCUGGAGUGCAGGAGAGGUAAGUGGAAUUCCUAGUGUAGCGGUGAAAUGCGUAGAUAUUAGGAGGAACACCAGUGGCGAAGGCGGCUUACUGGACUGUAACUGACGUUGAGGCUCGAAAGCGUGGGGAGCAAACAG